UCUUUCAAUCAAUGCCCAAUCACCCCAACAAGCCCACCAAACCAACUUUUAAACCAAAACAUUUGACAAGCAUAGUAUAAGAGAUAGAACCACAUCUUGGCGCACAACAGUACCGCAAGGGAAACAAGAAAGAAAAAUUAAAUAUUAAAACAAAAUAAGCAGAGAUUAAAACCCAUACCUCUUGCAUCAUGGUUUAACAAGUCAACCAUGGACAAAGUGACCCUGCCCUCAGCCCAUUACCCCGAAAUCAAGUGAGCUACCUCUAACCAACUUAUAGAGUCAACCCGUCACUGUAGCAAAAGUGUGGGAUGAGUUAGAGAUAGAAGUGAAAAGCCUAACGAACUUGACGAUAGCUGGUUAUCCAACCAAAUGAACCUCAGUUCAACUUUAGACUCAUUACAUCAACUAUUUGAUUACAAUUAAUCUAAAAGAUAGUCAAUGAGGGCACAGCCUCAUUGAAAUGGAAACAACCUCAACUAGAGAACCACUUACUACAUUUACCUCCCGUAGGCCCUCAAGCAGCCAACAAAAACAAAAUGCGUUACAGCAACAAAUACCCCUAAUACCAUAAUACAAACAAUACCUCCUAUAAUACACCGGAUAAAUCUAUUAACAUAGAAAUACCCAUGUUAAAACUAGUAAUAAGAAAUAAUUCUCUCAUGCACAAGAAAAUAUUAACAGACAUAAUACAUUGCACCAAAUAAAUCACAAGAAAACCCUAUCUACCAAUACUGUUAACCCAACCCAGGAGUGCAUAAAGAAAGAUUAAAAAUUACAAAAGGAACUCGGCAAACAAAAGUCCCAACUGUUUACCAAAAACAUAGCCUUUAGCCCAACAAGUAUUAAAGGUAAUGCCUGCCCAGUGAUAUUUUUCAACGGCCGCGGGAUCCUACACCGUGCAAAGGUAGCAUAAUCACUUGUCAUCUAAAUAAUGACUAGUAUGAACGGCCCUAUGAGGACUUCCCUGUCUCUCGUAAUCAAUCAAUGAAACUGAUCCCCCAGUACAAAAGCUGGGAUAAAUUCACAAGACGAAAAGACCCUGUGGAACUUAUAAGUAUUAAUCAACAAUAUGACACAAAUACUUUUAGUUGGGGCAACUUUGGAACAAAACAAAACUUCCAAUAUAGGGUAUACUUACCCAAAACUAAGUCCACACACUAACUUUUAACCCACCAACUGACCCAGUAUUACUGACAAAAGAAACAAGCUACCCCAGGGAUAACAGCGCCAUCCCCUCAUAGAGCCCAAAUCGACGAGCGGGGCUUACGACCUCGAUGUUGGAUCAGGGCCCCCAAACAGUGCAGCAGCUGUUAAAGGUUUGUUUGUUCAACAACUAAUGCCCUACGUGAUCUGAGUUAAGACCGGAGUAAUCCAGGUCGGUUUCUAUCUGUGUAAUAGUUUUUUCUAGUACGAAAGGACCGAAAAAACCAAGUCAAUGUUAUAAACACACUUGCCAAUCACAAGCUGACACCACUAAAACUUUAAUCAGGCUAAAUAUUACUAGCCCCAAACAAGGGCUUU
RNAcentral lists this ribosomal RNA (1521 nucleotides) under Aspidoscelis inornatus (Little striped whiptail). RNAcentral's name for it is "16S ribosomal RNA". It matches the Rfam family "Bacterial large subunit ribosomal RNA", at positions 435 to 2854 of the family's 2925-position model. The record is from RNAcentral. Lineage: Eukaryota; Metazoa; Chordata; Lepidosauria; Squamata; Teiidae.